Molecule: small RNA, 125 nt
Filed under: Marmota monax (woodchuck)
Lineage: Eukaryota; Metazoa; Chordata; Mammalia; Rodentia; Sciuridae
Source: RNAcentral
GCUGGGUGUGGUGGCACAUGCCUGUAAUCCCAGUGGCUCAGGAGGCUGAGACAGGAGACUCACGAGUUCAAAGCCAGCCUCAGCAAUGGCGAAGUGCUAAGUAACUCAGUGAGACCCUCUCUCUA